CCUACGGGAGGCAGCAGUGAGGAAUAUUGGUCAAUGGCCGUAAGGCUGAACCAGCCAAGCCGCGUGAAGGAAGAAGGUUCUAUGGUUUGUAAACUUCUUUUAUAGGGGAAUAAAGGUAGGCACGUGUGGAUAUUUGCAUGUACUUUAUGAAUAAGCAUCGGCUAACUCCGUGCCAGCAGCCGCGGUAAUACGGAGGAUGCGAGCGUUAUCCGGAUUUAUUGGGUUUAAAGGGUGCGGAGGUUGAUUUUUAAGUCAGCGGUGAAAGUUUGUGGCUUAACCAUCAAAUUGCCGUUGAAACUGGAAGUCUUGAGUGUGUGUGAGGUAGGCGGAAUGCGUGGUGUAGCGGUGAAAUGCGUAGAUAUCGCGCAGAACUCCGAUUGCGAAGGCAGCAUACUGGGGGAGAACUGACGCUGAGGCACGAAAGCGUGGGGAUCGAACAGGAUUAGAUACCCGGGUAGUC
RNAcentral lists this ribosomal RNA (460 nucleotides) under uncultured bacterium. RNAcentral's name for it is "partial 16S ribosomal RNA". It matches the Rfam family "Bacterial small subunit ribosomal RNA", at positions 338 to 795 of the family's 1533-position model. The record is from RNAcentral.